CGGGGUCACGUGCCGGGCGCGCUCGCACGCCGCCGAGCACGUACAAAGAGACCGGUGGGGAGGUGGGGACGCCGGCGCGGGCGGGCGGUGCGAGGGCGCCCGUGCGAGUCCCCGAAGUCUUCUACGGACACAUGCCCCAGUUCCCCGAAGGACGAGUGAGGGAAAGCUCUGAGUGCGCUGUGGCAACCGCUGCAUUUAAGGUUGGCUUGCAGACAGGCCCGAGGCACAAGAAGGAGAAGGUGAAACCUACCCAUGGACCGCAGAUGUGAGAGCCAAAGCAGGACUGUGAACUGUCAAAAUUCUCUCUGACUUCUUACCGGGCCGGGGAGCAGGGAUCCUAGUGCCUGAGGUACCAGAUCUCGUCCCGCUCGACUCGCUUCCUUUUCAGCCCCAAGAACGCCUCUUCCCUGGAAACACAAUCUCUAAGGGGGUGGAGGCAACAAAGAAAAAUAACAAUUGGAUCAGACCAGAAUGAGGUUCAAUUCCUGUCUGGGGAACUGAGCAAACUCAUGAAACGCAUAGCCUGAAAGAUUUGACUAUGAAAUUGUGGACGCUAGAACCAGGUUAUUUUUAAGCCACGAAAACAUUUCUAGUUUAAGUGAUAGCCAUCUAAUCUGUUCCACUGUGAUUUAAGACUUUGCUCCUACACGCUACAGAAAUCACCAUCACUGAAAGCACGCUGUAUGUGAAAGCUCUUGAAAGUACGUUAAGAGAAAUAAAUAAAUAA
Molecule: long non-coding RNA, 727 nt
Organism: Manis pentadactyla (Chinese pangolin)
Lineage: Eukaryota; Metazoa; Chordata; Mammalia; Pholidota; Manidae
Exons: 2
Source: RefSeq, a predicted model, not a curated record